RNAcentral lists this ribosomal RNA (1345 nucleotides) under uncultured bacterium. RNAcentral describes it as "partial 16S ribosomal RNA". It matches the Rfam family "Bacterial small subunit ribosomal RNA", at positions 28 to 1381 of the family's 1533-position model. The record is from RNAcentral.
GACGAACGCUGGCGGCGUGCUUAACACAUGCAAGUCGAACGGAAAGGCCCUGCUUUUGUGGGGUGCUCGAGUGGCGAACGGGUGAGUAACACGUGAGUAACCUGCCCUUGACUUUGGGAUAACUUCAGGAAACUGGGGCUAAUACCGGAUAGGAGCUCCUGCUGCAUGGUGGGGGUUGGAAAGUUUCGGCGGUUGGGGAUGGACUCGCGGCUUAUCAGCUUGUUGGUGGGGUAGUGGCUUACCAAGGCUUUGACGGGUAGCCGGCCUGAGAGGGUGACCGGCCACAUUGGGACUGAGAUACGGCCCAGACUCCUACGGGAGGCAGCAGUGGGGAAUAUUGCACAAUGGGCGGAAGCCUGAUGCAGCAACGCCGCGUGCGGGAUGACGGCCUUCGGGUUGUAAACCGCUUUCGCCUGUGACGAAGCGUGAGUGACGGUAAUGGGUAAAGAAGCACCGGCUAACUACGUGCCAGCAGCCGCGGUGAUACGUAGGUGCGAGCGUUGUCCGGAUUUAUUGGGCGUAAAGGGCUCGUAGGUGGUUGAUCGCGUCGGAAGUGUAAUCUUGGGGCUUAACCCUGAGCGUGCUUUCGAUACGGGUUGACUUGAGGAAGGUAGGGGAGAAUGGAAUUCCUGGUGGAGCGGUGGAAUGCGCAGAUAUCAGGAGGAACACCAGUGGCGAAGGCGGUUCUCUGGGCCUUUCCUGACGCUGAGGAGCGAAAGCGUGGGGAGCGAACAGGCUUAGAUACCCUGGUAGUCCACGCUGUAAACGGUGGGUACUAGGUGUGGGGUCCAUUCCACGGGUUCCGUGCCGUAGCUAACGCUUUAAGUACCCCGCCUGGGGAGUACGGCCGCAAGGCUAAAACUCAAAGGAAUUGACGGGGCCCCGCACAAGCGGCGGAGCAUGCGGAUUAAUUCGAUGCAACGCGUAGAACCUUACCUGGGUUUGACAUGGAUCGGGAGUGCUCAGAGAUGGGUGUGCCUCUUUUGGGGUCGGUUCACAGGUGGUGCAUGGCUGUCGUCAGCUCGUGUCGUGAGAUGUUGGGUUAAGUCCCGCAACGAGCGCAACCCUUGUUCACUGUUGCCAGCACGUUAUGGUGGGGACUCAGUGGAGACCGCCGGGGUCAACUCGGAGGAAGGUGGGGAUGACGUCAAGUCAUCAUGCCCCUUAUGUCCAGGGCUUCACGCAUGCUACAAUGGCUGGUACAGAGAGUGGCGAGCCUGUGAGGGUGAGCGAAUCUCGGAAAGCCGGUCUCAGUUCGGAUUGGGGUCUGCAACUCGACCUCAUGAAGUCGGAGUCGCUAGUAAUCGCAGAUCAGCAACGCUGCGGUGAAUACGUUCCCGGGGCU